UUUAUAGCUUGCUAUGAUAAAAAUUAGUGGCAGACGGGUGAGUAAUGCAUAGGAAUCUACCUAGUAGUAUGGGAUAGCCACUAGAAAUGGUGGGUAAUACUGUAUAAUCCCUGCGGGGGAAAGAUUUAUCGCUAUUAGAUGAGCCUAUGUUAGAUUAGCUAGUUGGUAGGGUAAAGGCCUACCAAGGCAGUGAUCUAUAGCUGGUCUGAGAGGAUGAUCAGCCACACUGGAACUGAGAUACGGUCCAGACUCCUACGGGAGGCAGCAGUGGGGAAUAUUGGACAAUGGGCGCAAGCCUGAUCCAGCUAUGCCGCGUGAGUGAGGAAGGCCUUAGGGUUGUAAAACUCUUUCAGUGGGGAAGAUAAUGACGGUACCCACAGAAGAAGUCCCG
RNAcentral lists this ribosomal RNA (391 nucleotides) under uncultured Anaplasma sp. Its description in RNAcentral is "bacterial SSU rRNA". It matches the Rfam family "Bacterial small subunit ribosomal RNA", at positions 72 to 495 of the family's 1533-position model. Lineage: Bacteria; Pseudomonadati; Pseudomonadota; Alphaproteobacteria; Rickettsiales; Anaplasmataceae. The record is from RNAcentral.